GGGGAAUAUUGCACAAUGGGCGAAAGCCUGAUGCAGCGACGCCGCGUGAGGGAUGACGGCCUUCGGGUUGUAAACCUCUUUCAGCAGGGAAGAAGCGUGAGUGACGGUACCUGCAGAAGAAGCGCCGGCUAACUACGUGCCAGCAGCCGCGGUAAUACGUAGGGCGCAAGCGUUGUCCGGAAUUAUUGGGCGUAAAGAGCUCGUAGGCGGUUUGUUGCGUCUGCUGUGAAAUCCUCAGGCUCAACCUGGGGCGUGCAGUGGGUACGGGCAGACUAGAGUGCGGUAGGGGAGACUGGAAUUCCUGGUGUAGCGGUGGAAUGCGCAGAUAUCAGGAGGAACACCGGUGGCGAAGGCGGGUCUCUGGGCCGUUACUGACGCUGAGGAGCGAAAGCAUGGGGAGCGAAC
Molecule: ribosomal RNA, 405 nt
Filed under: uncultured bacterium
Lineage: Bacteria
Description: bacterial SSU rRNA
Rfam family: Bacterial small subunit ribosomal RNA
Source: RNAcentral